RNAcentral lists this ribosomal RNA (232 nucleotides) under uncultured bacterium. RNAcentral describes it as "partial 16S ribosomal RNA". It matches the Rfam family "Bacterial small subunit ribosomal RNA", at positions 90 to 339 of the family's 1533-position model. The record is from RNAcentral.
AGUUAGUGGCGAACGGGUGAGUAACGCGUGGGGAUCUGCCCUGGAGUGGGGAACAACAGUUGGAAACGACUGCUAAUACCGUAUACGCCCUUUUGGGGAAAGAUUCAUCGCUGAUAGAUGGGCCCGCGUUAGAUUAGCUAGAUGGUGAGGUAAUGGCUCACCAUGGCGACGAUCUAUAGCUGGUUUGAGAGGAUGACCAGCCACACUGGGACUGAGACACGGCCCAGACUCC